Long non-coding RNA from Cervus elaphus (red deer), 714 nucleotides. RefSeq lists it as uncharacterized. The transcript is spliced from 3 exons. The record is from RefSeq and is a predicted model, not a curated record. Lineage: Eukaryota; Metazoa; Chordata; Mammalia; Artiodactyla; Cervidae.
GAAACGUCAUUGCUUGCAGAUGCCUUGGAAAGUUACAGAGGAAAGAUAUAAACUCUGUGCAGGCACACAGCCUCUGCUCAGAGGUUCCUACGAGGAAGAUGGAACAAGUAAGCGAGCCCUGAAUUGCUGUUUUCAUCAUUAUCAUCACCACCGAGAGCAUCCAAUGGAACACUUGUGAUGCUUUUCCAUUGACGUGAUGGUUUCACACAUCUUAGCUCACUGAGUUCUCCAGCAUACAGUGAAGUCAGCAUUCACAUUUUUAUGAUUCUUCUUCAGGUGUCCUUCUAUGGCCUGUAGAAGGCACUGUCCCUGGCCCUCCCUUAGGCCCUGGUACUGUCAACCUCAUGGCUUCUUAUUAUAAAUAGUGCAAGGCCCUUCCCGCGGGCUCCCUGGCACAUGCACUAGCCCAGCCUUGCCAGGCAUGUUGAGGAGUCACAGCCCUGGGAGCAGCCUGACGGGAGCUGAUGGCUCCACCACCCCCGCCGUGGGACAUCUCUGAGGCCCCUACACAGUCUCCCGAGUCCCAGUGGGGUUAAUCCUCAGUCGGUCUCUGAGGCUGAAGAAUGCUCCGGAGCCAAGCACAGAGUGCUCCGGGCACCCGAGGAUACAGAGCAAAGAGAAGCCCGCUAUCAGGCGGAUUCUUUACCACUGAGCCACCCGGGAAGCCCAUUGAUUAUUUUUUUAAGAAAAUUGAUCAUCUCUUGAAGUGGGCUC